This 453-nucleotide ribosomal RNA is filed under the name uncultured bacterium. Its description in RNAcentral is "bacterial SSU rRNA". It matches the Rfam family "Bacterial small subunit ribosomal RNA", at positions 340 to 786 of the family's 1533-position model. The record is from RNAcentral.
UACGGGAGGCAGCAGUGGGGAAUAUUGCACAAUGGGCGCAAGCCUGAUGCAGCCAUGCCGCGUGUAUGAAGAAGGCCUUCGGGUUGUAAAGUACUUUCAGUCGUGAGGAAGGUGUUAAGGUUAAUAGCCUUAGCAAUUGACGUUAGCGACAGAAGAAGCACCGGCUAACUCCGUGCCAGCAGCCGCGGUAAUACGGAGGGUGCGAGCGUUAAUCGGAAUUACUGGGCGUAAAGGGCACGCAGGCGGUUAAUUAAGUUGGAUGUGAAAUCCCCGGGCUUAACCUGGGAAUGGCAUUCAAGACUGGUUAGCUAGAGUCUUGUAGAGGGGGUAGAAUUCCAUGUGUAGCGGUGAAAUGCGUAGAGAUGUGGAGGAAUACCGGUGGCGAAGGCGGCCCCUGGGACAAAGACUGACGCUCAUGUGCGAAAGCGUGGGGAGCAAACAGGAUUAGAUACC